GUUCCUUCUAACGCUGAAAAACUCACAAAUACGAUAAAGUCAGGCCACAUGCUUGCUUAGUUUUUAGAGCCAUUAAAGAAUGUGCCAGGAUGCUAAGAUCUCUGUUUCUCCCCAUCCUUUGAGUGUUCUAUCACUGUAAAAAGGGGUCAUAGGUUUAAAGAGGACAAGACUCUGGUCCUUUUUGUACCAAAUGACCUCAGGGAAGGGACUCCACAGGAUUCCGAUUUCAGAGCUUAGAUGGAAGAGCUGACUCUGGUCUGGGCCCAUUCAAGAACAGGGGAUGGUUGCAAAGGAAGCCCCUACACAGAAUCAGAAGUGAUCAAGUUGGGGGCAGCCCUAUGGGACCAGAAGACUGAUAGCUAUGCAAUCAAACCAGCUUCAAAGAAAAGAAAGAGGAGCAAGAGAAGACAGCAGACGGGCAAAGGACUGCAGCUCAAUCGACCGCAAUCAGCUGGAGGCGAUCGCUGUUGGGCCUCUUCCAGGGCCUGGAACACCAUGAGGUUAUCAAAAGGGCGGAGGAGAAAACAGAAAGUGGGGAGGCGGCCCCAGCCACCCGGAGAAAUAAAAAUAUAAAGAGGAAAGACAUAGGAACCAGACAAAGGAGCAUGUUUGUAGGGAGAGAGGAUCACACUCCAAGCAAAACGAAGCCGAGACCAAGAACAAAUGACUGGAAAGUCCUGACCUUGUCCGUGUCUCCUGAAUCAGCCAUGCCUGAAGUCUGCUCCAAGAUCAUCUAACUCAUACGGCAACAUGCUGGUUGGGUUCUGUCAACAUGCUACAAACCUAGACAUGUCUGGGAAGAGGGAUUUUGAGAAAAUUCAUCCAUAAGAUUUGCCUGUGGGCACAUCUGUGGGGCAUUUUCUUCAUUAAUGAUUGAUAUGGUAGGGCCCAGCUCAUGGAAGCGGGUGCCAUCCCUGCGUAGGAUGUCCUGAUUUGUAUAAGAAACCCGGCUGAGCAAGGUAGAAGGAGCAAGCCAGCUAGCAACACUCUUCCAUGACUUCUGCAUCAAUUGCUGCCUCCAGGUUCCUGCCUUGAGUUCUUGCUUUGACUUCCCUCGGUGAUGGACUUUGAUGGGAAACUUUAAGCUGAAAUAAACACUUUCUUCCCUUA
Mus caroli (Ryukyu mouse) is the source of this 1110-nucleotide long non-coding RNA. RefSeq lists it as uncharacterized. The record is from RefSeq and is a predicted model, not a curated record. NCBI's taxonomy places the organism in Eukaryota, Metazoa, Chordata, Mammalia, Rodentia, Muridae.